RNAcentral lists this ribosomal RNA (196 nucleotides) under uncultured bacterium. RNAcentral describes it as "partial 16S ribosomal RNA". It matches the Rfam family "Bacterial small subunit ribosomal RNA", at positions 1297 to 1500 of the family's 1533-position model. The record is from RNAcentral.
AUUGGAGUCUGCAACCCGACUCCAUGAAGCUGGAUUCGCUAGUAAUCGCGCAUCAGCCACGGCGCGGUGAAUACGUUCCCGGGCCUUGUACACACCGCCCGUCAAGCCAUGGAAGCCGGGAGUGCCUGAAGUACGCGACCGCAAGGAGCGUCCUAAGGUAAAACCGGUGACUGGGGCUAAGUCGUAACAAGGUAUC